Molecule: long non-coding RNA, 1449 nt
Organism: Varroa destructor (honeybee mite)
Lineage: Eukaryota; Metazoa; Arthropoda; Arachnida; Mesostigmata; Varroidae
Source: RefSeq, a predicted model, not a curated record
ACGACGAGGUUCUUGUACUAUCUUGGCAAAAACGAAGUUUUCUGUGACCAAGUUAAAUUUAUUUCCAGGAAUUUCUAUUAGAAACAAAGUGCUAUCAACAAGUGGCCAAAAACAAUAGCGAAAAAUCAGUGUAGACUGUACAAAACGAAACUGUUUAAUACGCACCAAUAACAAUGCAAUAUAAAAGUAGGAAAAUUAAUCCGAUGCUCUGAUGUGACAUCUGAGGCGAAAUGGGGACACCACUAAAUAUCAUGGGGUUGUUGAAGUUUGGCAAGAUUCUCGAUUAAACUACACGGCCAAGCAGACGCAACGAGAGCCUGUGACGAACGAAGUUCACCGGCUACAUAAAUUUAGGAAAUAGUCUGACGACACUCUGGCCAAACCGAUAGUAAACACUUCAUCAUCAGCUUGUAUCAACCAGUUCUCAGGUGGUCAACCUAACCUAAAUGCACAAAUAGUGCAACUAAACGAUACGAUAUGAUUAAAACUGUCCCACGACUAGUCCAGUGACAUCUUCGUCGUCUAUCGAGUGAUUAUUUUUACGCUCGCGGUUCGAAUGGCGCCAUUUAUGCUACCUAACCUCGAGCCGGUGUCGUUUAACAGAGGUGCUCCGACUGGAAGGCCAUCGACGACCCGAAAAAAUCCUUGGGCCCCGUUGGGGUUGACUGUGCGUGUUCCUGUAUGUGUAGUGGAAUCGCCAGAUGGUCCUUCGUUCCGGAGAAGCAGCAGUACAAGCAGCGAGAACAGCGGGAGCACCCCCUACUACGAGCACUAAUGGCUGUGCAACAACGAACAAUUCGGUUCAUGCGGCAGGCGUUCGAGCCAUACCAAUCGCGUGUGAUGAGAUAAUCUCUUCAUCGUAAUGAAAAUGCUCUAUGCUAUGAAAUAUGAGGCAGUCAAGCAAUAGCUUCUCUGCUGCUACGGGCCUGCUGAGCAUAACACCAUCCUUCAAGGAUCAUGCGGCCACCGCGAAUUGCGCACUACCGACACUACGAAGGACCGGCCAUGCAGGAACUUUGUACGAGGAGGAGACGGUCAACCUAUGGCCGCUUCCUUGCGUUCGUAAAUCAUGAAUCGCAGACCAGUGAUCACUGAGACUCAGUUGGCCUGUUCAGAGGCAGCGUUUUCCGAGCAGGCCUGGUCAGUGGAAAUCGAAUAUCUCGAGUAAAAGCUAUGAAACAGCCUAAUGAGAAUUAUUUCUGACGUGACUGCAGGCAGCAAUGGCGGCAGCAAGUGGUGCUUUGGUGCUUCGACGAUGGGGGCUGAAUCGUCUUGGUUGUAACGCGAUAUCACGUCAGACUACGCUAGAGGGCGGAAGGGCAAACGUCUGUACGGAUUCGUGGAACUCGAGAGGGUGAUUUUUCAAGACUAUUCUCGUCAAAAAAAUUAGAGAUAAUUGUGACAAUUCUACCAGUGGAUCUGUAGUGGAUAGUGCCCGCGUUUUGACAC